This 421-nucleotide ribosomal RNA is filed under the name uncultured bacterium. RNAcentral describes it as "bacterial SSU rRNA". It matches the Rfam family "Bacterial small subunit ribosomal RNA", at positions 355 to 774 of the family's 1533-position model. The record is from RNAcentral.
UAAGGAAUAUUGGUCAAUGGACGCAAGUCUGAACCAACCAUGCCGCGUGAAGGAUGAAGGUCCUCUGGAUUGUAAACUUCUUUUAUCUGGGACGAAAACGGGAUUUUUAUCUCAAUUGACGGUACCAGAGGAAUAAGCACCGGCUAACUCCGUGCCAGCAGCCGCGGUAAUACGGAGGGUGCGAGCGUUAUCCGGAUUUACUGGGUUUAAAGGGUGCGUAGGUGGGCUUAUAAGUCAGUGGUGAAAUCUCCGAGCUUAACUUGGAAACUGCCGUGGAUACUAUAGGUCUUGAAUUGUCUGGAGGUAAGCGGAAUAUGUCAUGGAGCGGUGAAAUGCUUAGAUAUGACAUAGAACACCAAUUGCGAAGGCAGCUUACUACAUAUAAAUUGACGCUGAGGCACGAAAGCAUGGGGAUCAAACA